AUCCAGCUGACGAGUUCCAAAUAGGACGAAACGCGCAUCCUGGAU
This is a non-coding RNA of Schistosoma margrebowiei, 45 nucleotides long. Lineage: Eukaryota; Metazoa; Platyhelminthes; Trematoda; Strigeidida; Schistosomatidae. The record is from Rfam.